CAGCCGCCGCGGGAAAACGUAGGGUGCGAGCGUUAAUCGGAAUUACUGGGCGUAAAGCGUGCGCAGGCGGUUGUGUAAGACAGGUGUGAAAUCCCCGGGCUUAACCUGGGAACUGCGCUUGUGACUGCACAGCUAGAGUAUGGCAGAGGGGGGUGGAAUUCCACGUGUAGCAGUGAAAUGCGUAGAGAUGUGGAGGAACACCGAUGGCGAAGGCAGCCCCCUGGGCCAAUACUGACGCUCAUGCACGAAAGCGUGGGGAGCAAACAGGAUUAGAUACCCCCGUAGUCCCUGUCUCUUAUAC
RNAcentral lists this ribosomal RNA (301 nucleotides) under uncultured bacterium. RNAcentral's name for it is "partial 16S ribosomal RNA". It matches the Rfam family "Bacterial small subunit ribosomal RNA", at positions 509 to 807 of the family's 1533-position model. The record is from RNAcentral.